This 429-nucleotide ribosomal RNA is filed under the name Bacteroidota bacterium. RNAcentral's name for it is "Bacteroidetes bacterium partial 16S ribosomal RNA". It matches the Rfam family "Bacterial small subunit ribosomal RNA", at positions 355 to 776 of the family's 1533-position model. Lineage: Bacteria; Pseudomonadati; Bacteroidota. The record is from RNAcentral.
UAGGGAAUCUUCGGCAAUGGGGGGAACCCUGACCGAGCAACGCCGCGCGAGUGAAGAAGGUUUUCGGAUCGUAAAGCUCUGUUGUUAAGGAAGAACGAGUGUGAGAAUGGAAAGUUCAUACUGUGACGGUACUUAACCAGAAAGGGACGGCUAACUACGUGCCAGCAGCCGCGGUAAUACGUAGGUCCCGAGCGUUGUCCGGAUUUAUUGGGCGUAAAGCGAGCGCAGGCGGUUAGAUAAGUCUGAAGUUAAAGGCAGUGGCUCAACCAUUGUAGGCUUUGGAAACUGUUUAACUUGAGUGCGGAAAGGGAGAGUGGAAUUCCAUGUGUAGCGGUGAGAUGCGUAGAUAUAUGGAGGAACACCGGUGGCGAAAGCGGCUCUCUGGUCUGUAACUGACGCUGAGGCUCGAAAGCGUGGGGAGCGAACAGG